RNAcentral lists this ribosomal RNA (499 nucleotides) under Listeria monocytogenes. RNAcentral's name for it is "bacterial SSU rRNA". It matches the Rfam family "Bacterial small subunit ribosomal RNA", at positions 29 to 509 of the family's 1533-position model. The record is from RNAcentral. Lineage: Bacteria; Bacillati; Bacillota; Bacilli; Caryophanales; Listeriaceae.
ACGAACGCUGGCGGCGUGCCUAAUACAUGCAAGUCGAACGAACGGAGGAAGAGCUUGCUCUUCCAAAGUUAGUGGCGGACGGGUGAGUAACACGUGGGCAACCUGCCUGUAAGUUGGGGAUAACUCCGGGAAACCGGGGCUAAUACCGAAUGAUAAAGUKUGGCGCAUGCCAYGCUUUUGAAAGAUGGUUUCGGCUAUCGCUUACAGAUGGGCCCGCGGUGCAUUAGCUAGUUGGUAGGGUAAUGGCCUACCAAGGCAACGAUGCAUAGCCGACCUGAGAGGGUGAUCGGCCACACUGGGACUGAGACACGGCCCAGACUCCUACGGGAGGCAGCAGUAGGGAAUCUUCCGCAAUGGACGAAAGUCUGACGGAGCAACGCCGCGUGUAUGAAGAAGGUUUUCGGAUCGUAAAGUACUGUUGUUAGAGAAGAACAAGGAUAAGAGUAACUGCUUGUCCCUUGACGGUAUCUAACCAGAAAGCCACGGCUAACUACGUGCC